Drosophila elegans is the source of this 79-nucleotide small nucleolar RNA. RefSeq annotates it as small nucleolar RNA R38. Lineage: Eukaryota; Metazoa; Arthropoda; Insecta; Diptera; Drosophilidae. The record is from RefSeq and is a predicted model, not a curated record. The transcript has a single exon.
AUAUGUAAUGAUGAACAACUUUAUUUAACAGUUAUCCCUGUCAUAAAACUAAUUGAUGAUUAAAUAAGCUGAUACAUAU